RNAcentral lists this ribosomal RNA (497 nucleotides) under uncultured bacterium. RNAcentral describes it as "partial 16S ribosomal RNA". It matches the Rfam family "Bacterial small subunit ribosomal RNA", at positions 28 to 507 of the family's 1533-position model. The record is from RNAcentral.
GAUGAACGCUGGCGGCGUGCCUAAUACAUGGAAGUCGAGCGAACGGACGAGAAGCUUGCUUUUCUGAUGUUAGCGGCGGACGGGUGAGUAACACGUGGAUAACCUACCUAUAAGACUGGGAUAACUUCGGGAAACCGGAGCUAAUACCGGAUAAUAUUUUGAACCGCAUGGUUCAAAAGUGAAAGACGGUCUUGCUGUCACUUAUAGAUGGAUCCGCGCUGCAUUAGCUAGUUGGUAAGGUAACGGCUUACCAAGGCAACGAUGCAUAGCCGACCUGAGAGGGUGAUCGGCCACACUGGAACUGAGACACGGUCCAGACUCCUACGGGAGGCAGCAGUAGGGAAUCUUCCGCAAUGGGCGAAAGCCUGACGGAGCAACGCCGCGUGAGUGAUGAAGGUCUUCGGAUCGUAAAACUCUGUUAUUAGGGAAGAACAUAUGUGUAAGUAACUGUGCACAUCUUGACGGUACCUAAUCAGAAAGCCACGGCUAACUACGUG